RNAcentral lists this ribosomal RNA (567 nucleotides) under Lactobacillus gasseri. Its description in RNAcentral is "bacterial SSU rRNA". It matches the Rfam family "Bacterial small subunit ribosomal RNA", at positions 371 to 930 of the family's 1533-position model. Lineage: Bacteria; Bacillati; Bacillota; Bacilli; Lactobacillales; Lactobacillaceae. The record is from RNAcentral.
AUGGACGCAGUCUGAUGGAGCAACGCCGCGUGAGUGAAGAAGGGUUUCGGCUCGUAAAGCUCUGUUGGUAGUGAAGAAAGAUAGAGGUAGUAACUGGCCUAUAUUUGACGGUAAUUACUUAGAAAGUCACGGCUAACUACGUGCCAGCAGCCGCGGUAAUACGUAGGUGGCAAGCGUUGUCCGGAUUUAUUGGGCGUAAAGCGAGUGCAGGCGGUUCAAUAAGUCUGAUGUGAAAGCCUUCGGCUCAACCGGAGAAUUGCAUCAGAAACUGUUGAACUUGAGUGCAGAAGAGGAGAGUGGAACUCCAUGUGUAGCGGUGGAAUGCGUAGAUAUAUGGAAGAACACCAGUGGCGAAGGCGGCUCUCUGGUCUGCAACUGACGCUGAGGCUCGAAAGCAUGGGUAGCGAACAGGAUUAGAUACCCUGGUAGUCCAUGCCGUAAACGAUGAGUGCUAAGUGUUGGGAGGUUUCCGCCUCUCAGUGCUGCAGCUAACGCAUUAAGCACUCCGCCUGGGGAGUACGACCGCAAGGUUGAAACUCAAAGGAAUUGACGGGGGCCCGCACAAGC